RNAcentral lists this ribosomal RNA (253 nucleotides) under uncultured bacterium. RNAcentral's name for it is "partial 16S ribosomal RNA". It matches the Rfam family "Bacterial small subunit ribosomal RNA", at positions 524 to 776 of the family's 1533-position model. The record is from RNAcentral.
UACGGGGGGGGCAAGCGUUGUUCGGAAUUACUGGGCGUAAAGGGCUCGUAGGCGGCCAACUAAGUCGGAUGUGAAAUCCCCAGGCUUAACCUGGGAACUGCAUCCGAUACUGGAUGGCUUGAAUCCGGGAGAGGGAUGCAGAAUUCCAGGUAUAGCGGUGAAAUGCGUAGAUAUCUGGAGGAAUACCGGUGGCGAAGGCGGGACUCUGGGCCGAUACUGACGCUGAGGAGCGAAAGCGUGGGGAGCGAACAGG